This 910-nucleotide ribosomal RNA is filed under the name Cantharellus sp. BRI AQ 646213. RNAcentral describes it as "LSU rRNA". It matches the Rfam family "Eukaryotic large subunit ribosomal RNA", at positions 44 to 968 of the family's 3401-position model. The record is from RNAcentral. Lineage: Eukaryota; Fungi; Basidiomycota; Agaricomycetes; Cantharellales; Hydnaceae.
CAAUAAGCGGAGGAAAAGAAACCAACAGGGAUUGCCUCAGUAACGGCGAGUGAAGCGGCAAAAGCUCAAAUUUUAAAGCUGGCACCUCCGGUGUCCGCGUUGUAAUUUUGUGAGGCAUCUCCGGGUAGGGCGCCGGCCUAAGUUCCUUGGAACAGGACGUCAUAGAGGGUGAGAAUCCCGUGCUUGGCUGGCUGUCCCCGUCCGUGUGAGGUGUCUUCGACGAGUCGAGUUGUUUGGGAAUGCAGCUCAAAAUGGGUGGUAAAUUUCAUCUAAAGCUAAAUAUUGGUGGGAGACCGAUAGCGCACAAGUAGAGUGAUCGAAAGAUGAAAAGCACUUUGAAAAUAGAGUUAAAAAGUACGUGAAAUUGUUGAAAGGGAAGCGCUUGAGACCAGACUUCGGUGGGGAGUGAUCAGCCAUCCUUCUGGGCGGUGCACUUGCUCCCCUCCGGGCCAGCAUCGGUUGGGACGGCGGGAUAAAGGUCCCGGGAAUGUGGCUCCUUUCGGGGAGUGUUAUAGCCCGGGUGAAUGCCGCCAGCCCCGACCGAGGACCGCGCCUUCGGGCUAGGAUGCUUGGCAUAAUGGUCUUCAGCGACCCGUCUUGAAACACGGACCAAGGAGUCUAACAUCUAUGCGAGUGUUUGGGUGUCAAACCCUUACGCGAAAUGAAAGUGAACGGAGGUGGGAACCCGCAAGGGUGCACCAUCGACCGGUCCCGAAGUCUUCUGAAGGAUCUGAGUAGGAGCAUAGCUGUUGGGACCCGAAAGAUGGUGAACUAUGCCUGAAUAGGGUGAAGCCAGAGGAAACUCUGGUGGAGGCUCGCAGCGGUUCUGACGUGCAAAUCGAUCGUCAAAUUUGGGUAUAGGGGGCGAAAGACUAAUCGAACCAUCUAGUAGCUGGUUCCUGCCGAAUUU